AGUGAACGCUGGCGGUAGGCCUAACACAUGCAAGUCGAACGGCAGCACAGUAAGAGCUUGCUCUUACGGGUGGCGAGUGGCGGACGGGUGAGGAAUACAUCGGAAUCUACUUUUUCGUGGGGGAUAACGUAGGGAAACUUACGCUAAUACCGCAUACGACCUACGGGUGAAAGCAGGGGAUCUUCGGACCUUGCGCGAUUGAAUGAGCCGAUGUCGGAUUAGCUAGUUGGCGGGGUAAAGGCCCACCAAGGCGACGAUCCGUAGCUGGUCUGAGAGGAUGAUAAGCCACACUGGAACUGAGACACGGUCCAGACUCCUACGGGAGGCAGCAGUGGGGAAUAUUGGACAAUGGGCGCAAGCCUGAUCCAGCCAUACCGCGUGGGUGAAGAAGGCCUUCGGGUUGUAAAGCCCUUUUGUUGGGAAAGAAAAGCAGCAGGUUAAUACCCCGCUGUUCUGACGGUACCCUAAGAAUAAGCACCGGCUAACUUCGUG
Molecule: ribosomal RNA, 492 nt
Filed under: uncultured bacterium
Lineage: Bacteria
Description: partial 16S ribosomal RNA
Rfam family: Bacterial small subunit ribosomal RNA
Source: RNAcentral